RNAcentral lists this long non-coding RNA (1523 nucleotides) under Heterocephalus glaber (naked mole-rat). RNAcentral describes it as "lncRNA (ENSHGLG00000042212.1)". The record is from RNAcentral. Lineage: Eukaryota; Metazoa; Chordata; Mammalia; Rodentia; Bathyergidae.
GGAGCAGGAGCUUUGGCUCUCAGGGUCUGGGGGACGUCAGGAGAGGAACCGUCUGCUUGUGUCUGCCCCUAGCACGACAGCACCCUUCUGGCCUUGUACGGGGCCCUGGGCCUCUAUGACGGGCACACCCCACCCUAUGCUGCCUGCCUUGGCUUUGAGUUCCGGAGCUGCGCUGGGGACCCGGAGGAAGACGGAGCCGGAGGGAACAUCACCGUCUCCCUCUUCUACCGCAACGACACCAACCGCCCGCCCCUGUCCCUCAGCGUCCCCGGGUGCCCAGCCCCCUGCCCGCUAGGGCGCUUCCGCCAGCUGACUGCUCCGGCCCGGCCUCCCGCCCGUGGGGCCGCCUGCCAUGGCUCCCAUAGGCCUGCCGCUGCCCCAGCCACCACAGUGCCCCUGCUGGCCGGAGCUGUGGCCGUGCUGGCGGUGCUGAGCCUGGGCCUGGGCCUCCUGGCCUGGAGACCCGGCUGCCUGCGAGCCCUGGGGGGGUGCAGUGUGAGCGGGAAUGGGGCAGCCCCUCCCCCGCAGACGCUGGCCCCAACACGCGUGCUCACCUUCUGUGCUGGCUUGUCACUGUCUGUGCGCGUGCGGGGAGGGAGCUGGGCGGGAGCCCCGGCCGGUGCGCAUGCGUGGACCUUCGCAGAUGUUUGCGUUCACAACUCUGGAGCCAGUAUGUACACGUGUGUGUGAUGUGCAUUUCUGUACUACUGUGGGAGCCAUGUCCCUAACGCAGCACCUUUAGCAGAGCUAAGCCUGUAACCCAGCAGGGAGCCAGGCAGGGACCAGGUGGUUGCUCAGGGGUGCCCGUGGGAGGAGCUGCCAUUACGGGGUGGGGGGGGAGAGCAUGCACCUCCCCUUCGCUGGGCAGUCACUGACCAGUGACCAUGCCUGCUGACAGACUGAAAGCCAUGCAAGCUCAGGUCCCCUUGACAAUGCUGGUGAGGACAGUAUUGCAGUAGCUGCUUGUAAGCCAGGUCCUGCACUGAGCCUGCACCUGAGGGUGCAGGCAGUGGGGGCCGGGGCAGGCAGGCGGCCUAGCAGGAUGCAGACUGGCCCCACAGGUGGCUGGGCUGGUCCCUGUGGCAGGCCCAGGGCUUGGCCUCUUGCCCGACUGGCUACCACAGGCCCACCCUUCCUCAUCAGACUGCUGGAGAGCUGGGCCCCAAGGUGGGCCAGCCCGUGCACCCCCGCCCUGGACCAGCGUCCCACCCGGACCACGCCACCCACCUCGGCUCAGGAAGGGCGCUGCACCUGCCACUUAAUGGCGCCUGUGGCUAGCAGAGUCCUCGGAACCCUGCUCAUACGGAUGCCCCUCAACCCAGACCCCCAGGCGCUGGCCUGUGGCCAUGGGGGCAGCCAAAGCCACCGGAGUACUUGGGAGGGAUCAGUGGGCGCCCCCAGGCCAGCACACCGAAAGCACACUCUGAGAGGGAGGGCAACUGCCCACAGGAAAAAGCCAGCCAGAAAGCCAGUCAGGGCCACGAGGGGGACAUGACUGCUAAAACCAAAGUGUCACACACGCC